GAUGAACGCUGGCGGCGUGCCUAAUACAUGCAAGUCGAGCGAACAGACGAGGAGCUUGCUCCUCUGACGUUAGCGGCGGACGGGUGAGUAACACGUGGAUAACCUACCUAUAAGACUGGGAUAACUUCGGGAAACCGGAGCUAAUACCGGAUAAUAUAUUGAACCGCAUGGUUCAAUAGUGAAAUACAGUUUUGCUGUCACUUAUAGAUGGAUCCGCGCCUCAUUAGCUAGUUGGUAAGGUAACGGCUUACCAAGGCAACGAUGCGUAGCCGACCUGAGAGGGUGAUCGGCCACACUGGAACUGAGACACGGUCCAGACUCCUACGGGAGGCAGCAGUAGGGAAUCUUCCGCAAUGGGCGAAAGCCUGACGGAGCAACGCCGCGUGAGUGAUGAAGGUCUUCGGAUCGUAAAACUCUGUUAUUAGGGAAGAACAAAUGUGUAAGUAACUAUGCACGUCUUGACGGUACCUAAUCAGAAAGCCACGGCUAACUACGUG
Molecule: ribosomal RNA, 497 nt
Filed under: uncultured bacterium
Lineage: Bacteria
Description: partial 16S ribosomal RNA
Rfam family: Bacterial small subunit ribosomal RNA
Source: RNAcentral